CCUGAGGCGUUUGCAUUGUGGGGCGGGAGGCUGUCGACUGUCAUCUCCCGCUUUCUUAUAGGCAAAAGUCUGGCGACUAAAACUACAAUUCCCGGCAGGCGCCGGACUCGCUCGUCCCUAGUUUUCCGGGCAUUCUGGGAAUUGUAGGCUCCGGCCUCGUGAUUGCUGCUACCUGGGCUGGCCUCUUUCACGAGGGUGUGACGGGCCUACCUGGGCGGCAGCGUGUCCCAACAGUGCCUGAUUUUAAGAAUUAUCUGUGAGGCUAAUUAAAGAGGCAGAGGGCGACGUUUUAAACUGGUUUCCUGAAUCCAAUCUUGCCAUGUUUAGCAAAGGUACACCGCAUCCUGGCAUCUUACACAAGCCUCUCUAAUGACAGGGUGCUUUCAGAUGCACACUAAGAAAACGAAAACAGGGCUUUACUCAGCAGGAGUCCUCAGCACUGAUUUGUACCAUGGCCGCCCCUGCCCUGCCACUUCCACCAGAUGUGUGUCAUCAUAGGCAUCCAAGGUCACCUCAUUAUGGCUCUGUGCAAAGACAGCACCCCAAAGGGGCCAUCGAUUUGGAACAUCUGAUCGGCUCUCUGAGUUGGAUCCACUAGCUCAUAAAAUCCAAUAAAUGUCAAAGAUCUGUCGGGCGCAUUAACCUCUGGAGGUCUAUUAAAAGACUCUGCCUUCGAUAAGGAGAUUCUGUUUCAGUCACAAAGACGCCAAGGCGACCAAUUCUAAAACCCCUGAUUUUAGAUGCA
Long non-coding RNA from Talpa occidentalis (Iberian mole), 745 nucleotides. RefSeq lists it as uncharacterized. The transcript is spliced from 4 exons. The record is from RefSeq and is a predicted model, not a curated record. Lineage: Eukaryota; Metazoa; Chordata; Mammalia; Eulipotyphla; Talpidae.